UGCGUAGGCGGGAUUUUAAGUCAGAGGUGAAAGCCUGGAGCUCAACUCCAGAACUGCCUUUGAUACUGGAAUUCUUGAGUUCGGAAGAGGUAGGUGGAACUGCGAGUGUAGAGGUGAAAUUCGUAGAUAUUCGCAAGAACACCAGUGGCGAAGGCGGCCUACUGGUCCGAUACUGACGCUGAGGCACGAAAGCGUGGGAGCAAACA
This 206-nucleotide ribosomal RNA is filed under the name uncultured bacterium. Its description in RNAcentral is "partial 16S ribosomal RNA". It matches the Rfam family "Bacterial small subunit ribosomal RNA", at positions 568 to 774 of the family's 1533-position model. The record is from RNAcentral.